Molecule: ribosomal RNA, 327 nt
Filed under: Allapsidae sp.
Lineage: Eukaryota; Cercozoa; Glissomonadida; Viridiraptoridae
Description: SSU rRNA
Rfam family: Eukaryotic small subunit ribosomal RNA (bases 107-327)
Source: RNAcentral
GAUUUCUGAUGUGACCUGCCUGGCCCGCCGUGGUUACACGUGUGAGUGCCGGGUGUUGUCCGUCUGUCUUCCUGUUCCAUCGGCUGCCCUCUUCACUGAGUGGUGGUUGUACUGAGCAGGAUCUUUUACUUUGAACAAAUUAGAGUGUUUCAAGCAGGCUUCUGCCAUGAAUACAUUAGCAUGGAAUAAUCAUUUAGGACUUCGGUUCUAUUUUGUUGGUUUCUAGGACUGAAGUAAUGAUUGAUAGGGAUAGUUGGGGGUGCUAGUAUUCAGCGGCCAGAGGUGAAAUUCUCGGAUUCGCUGAAGACUAACUUAUGCGAAAGCAUU